Molecule: ribosomal RNA, 510 nt
Filed under: Streptococcus thermophilus
Lineage: Bacteria; Bacillati; Bacillota; Bacilli; Lactobacillales; Streptococcaceae
Description: bacterial SSU rRNA
Rfam family: Bacterial small subunit ribosomal RNA
Source: RNAcentral
CGUAGGUAACCUGCCUUGUAGCGGGGGAUAACUAUUGGAAACGAUAACUAAUACCCCAUAACAAUGGAUGACACAUGUCAUUUAUUUGAAAGGGGCAAUUGCUCCACUACAAGAUGGACCUGCGUUGUAUUAGCUAGUAGGUGAGGUAAUGGCUCACCUACGCGACCAUACAUAGCCGACCUGAGAGGGUGAUCGGCCACGCUGGGACUGAGACACGGCCCAUACUCCUACGGGAGGCACCCCUAGGGAAUCUUCGGCAAUGGGGGCAACCCUGACCGAGCAACGCCGCGUGAGUGAAGAAGGUUUUCGGAUCGUAAAGCUCUGUUGUAAGUCAAGAACGGGUGUGAGAGUGGAAAGUUCACACUGUGACGGUAGCUUACCAGAAAGGGACGGCUAACUACGUGCCAGCAGCCGCGGUAAUACGUAGGUCCCGAGCGUUGUCCGGAUUUAUUGGGCGUAAAGCGAGCGCAGGCGGUUUGAUAAGUCUGAAGUUAAAGGCUGUGGCUCAAC